Molecule: ribosomal RNA, 919 nt
Filed under: Pyrenophora biseptata
Lineage: Eukaryota; Fungi; Ascomycota; Dothideomycetes; Pleosporales; Pleosporaceae
Description: eukaryotic LSU rRNA
Rfam family: Eukaryotic large subunit ribosomal RNA
Source: RNAcentral
CUGAACUUAAGCAUAUCAAUAAGCGGAGGAAAAGAAACCAACAGGGAUUGCCCUAGUAACGGCGAGUGAAGCGGCAACAGCUCAAAUUUGAAAUCUGGCUCUUUCAGGGUCCGAGUUGUAAUUUGCAGAGGGCGCUUUGGCUUUGGCAGCGGUCCAAGUUCCUUGGAACAGGACGUCACAGAGGGUGAGAAUCCCGUACGUGGUCGCUAGCUAUUGCCGUGUAAAGCCCCUUCGACGAGUCGAGUUGUUUGGGAAUGCAGCUCUAAAUGGGAGGUAAAUUUCUUCUAAAGCUAAAUACUGGCCAGAGACCGAUAGCGCACAAGUAGAGUGAUCGAAAGAUGAAAAGCACUUUGGAAAGAGAGUCAAACAGCACGUGAAAUUGUUGAAAGGGAAGCGCUUGCAGCCAGACUUGCUUGCAGUUGCUCAUCCGGACUUUUGUCCGGUGCACUCUUCUGCAGGCAGGCCAGCAUCAGUUUGGGCGGUGGGAUAAAGGUCUCUGUCACGUACCUCUCUUCGGGGAGGCCUUAUAGGGGAGACGACAUACCACCAGCCUGGACUGAGGUCCGCGCAUUUGCUAGGAUGCUGGCGUAAUGGCUGUAAGCGGCCCGUCUUGAAACACGGACCAAGGAGUCUAACAUCUAUGCGAGUGUUUGGGUGUCAAGCCCGAACGCGUAAUGAAAGUGAACGGAGGUGGGAACCCGCAAGGGUGCACCAUCGACCGAUCCUGAUGUCUUCGGAAGGAUUUGAGUAAGAGCAUGGCUGUUGGGACCCGAAAGAUGGUGAACUAUGCUUGAAUAGGGUGAAGCCAGAGGAAACUCUGGUGGAGGCUCGCAGCGGUUCUGACGUGCAAAUCGAUCGUCAAAUUUGGGCAUAGGGGCGAAAGACUAAUCGAACUAUCUAGUAGCUGGUUCCUGCCGAA